GACGAACGCUGGCGGCGUGCUUAACACAUGCAAGUCGAACGGAAAGGCCCUGCUUUUGUGGGGUGCUCGAGAGGCGAACGGGUGAGUAACACGUGAGUAACCUGCCCUUGACUUUGGGAUAACUUCAGGAAACUGGGGCUAAUACCGGAGAGGAGCUCCUGCUGCAUGGUGGGGGUUGGAAAGUGUCGGCGGUGGGGGAUGGACUCGCGGCUUAUCAGCUUGUUGGUGGGGUAGUGGCUUACCAAGGCUUUGACGGGUAGCCGGCCUGAGAGGGUGACCGGCCACAUUGGGACUGAGAUUCGGCCCAGACUCCUACGGGAGGCAGCAGUGGGGAAUAUUGCACAAUGGGCGGAAGCCUGAUGCAGCAACGCCGCGUGCGGGAUGACGGCCUUCGGGUUGUAAACCGCUUUCGCCGGUGACGAAGCGUGAGUGACGGUAAUGGGUAAAGAAGCACCGGCUAACUACGUG
RNAcentral lists this ribosomal RNA (468 nucleotides) under uncultured bacterium. RNAcentral's name for it is "partial 16S ribosomal RNA". It matches the Rfam family "Bacterial small subunit ribosomal RNA", at positions 28 to 507 of the family's 1533-position model. The record is from RNAcentral.